AUUGAACGCUGGCGGCAGGCCUAACACAUGCAAGUCGAGCGGAUGAAGGGAGCUUGCUCCUGGAUUCAGCGGCGGACGGGUGAGUAAUGCCUAGGAAUCUGCCUGGUAGUGGGGGAUAACGUCCGGAAACGGGCGCUAAUACCGCAUACGUCCUGCGGGUGAAAGUGGGGGAUCUUCGGACCUCACGCUAUCAGAUGAGCCUAGGUCGGAUUAGCUAGUUGGUGGGGUAAAGGCCUACCAAGGCGACGAUCCGUAACUGGUCUGAGAGGAUGAUCAGUCACACUGGAACGGAGACACGGUCCAGACUCCUACGGGAGGAAGCAGUGGGGAAUAUUGGACAAUAGGCGAAAGCCUGAUCCAGCCAUGCCGCGUGUGUGAAGAAGGUCUUCGGAUUGUAAAGCACUUUAAGUUGGGAGGAAGGGCAGUAAGUUAAUACCUUGCUGUUUUGACGGUACCAGCAGAAUAAGCACCGGCUAACUUCGUG
This 484-nucleotide ribosomal RNA is filed under the name uncultured bacterium. RNAcentral's name for it is "partial 16S ribosomal RNA". It matches the Rfam family "Bacterial small subunit ribosomal RNA", at positions 30 to 507 of the family's 1533-position model. The record is from RNAcentral.